This 491-nucleotide ribosomal RNA is filed under the name uncultured bacterium. RNAcentral's name for it is "bacterial SSU rRNA". It matches the Rfam family "Bacterial small subunit ribosomal RNA", at positions 41 to 524 of the family's 1533-position model. The record is from RNAcentral.
GGCGGCCUACACAUGCAGUCCGACGGUAGCACAGAGGAGCUUGCUCCUUGGGUGACGAGUGGCGGACGGGUGAGUAAUGUCUGGGGAUCUGCCCGAUAGAGGGGGAUAACCACUGGAAACGGUGGCUAAUACCGCAUAACGUCGCAAGACCAAAGAGGGGGACCUUCGGGCCUCUCACUAUCGGAUGAACCCAGAUGGGAUUAGCUAAUAGGCGGGGUAAUGGCCCACCUAGGCGACGAUCCCUAGCUGGUCUGAGAGGAUGACCAGCCACACUGGAACUGAGACACGGUCCAGACUCCUACGGGAGGCAGCAGUGGGGAAUAUUGCACAAUGGGCGCAAGCCUGAUGCAGCCAUGCCGCGUGUAUGAAGAAGGCCUUCGGGUUGUAAAGUACUUUCAGCGGGGAGGAAGGCGACGGGGUUAAUAACCCUGUCGAUUGACGUUACCCGCAGAAGAAGCACCGGCUAACUCCGUGCCAGCAGCCGCGGUAAU